Bombus terrestris (buff-tailed bumblebee) is the source of this 2879-nucleotide long non-coding RNA. RefSeq lists it as uncharacterized. NCBI's taxonomy places the organism in Eukaryota, Metazoa, Arthropoda, Insecta, Hymenoptera, Apidae. The record is from RefSeq and is a predicted model, not a curated record. The transcript has 3 exons.
UCCUUUAGAUCUGGCUUGCCUGGAGCGUCUGGCUCGGCUACGAUAACGCAGUAAGAUUAUGAAAAUUGUACUGAAUGGCCAGAGAUUUGAAAGAGAAGCUCAAAGGAAUUCGAUUUUGAAAGGAUCGACGAGAUCAAAUCUCAAACGACGUCGUUACCUCUUGUCAGGUACAAUCUCCUGGUCACCUCUGAACCAUUUCACUUCGCCACCAGCGUCGUCCAACUCGCAGACAAGCGUCAACGUUUCCUUUUCUACGAUCUGCUGGGACUUGAGCACCUUUACGAACUUAUAAGGAUACUCUGCAUGGAAGAAGGGAUAUUUUAGAACUUGCAAACAUCAUCGAUCGCCAGAGUUUACAAAAUAUCUAGGAUAACGUUUUCCUAGAUUAAAACAUACCAACUAUAGUUAGAACCGUUUCAGUCUUGUCGGUUUGUUUGUUAAUCUUACAAAUGUAGUCGCCGCUAUCUUCAAGCGUAGCGCUCUUUAUGGUUAAUCGACAAACGCCAUUCAUGUCCUUCGACAUACUGUACGUAUCGCCCUCCUAGAGAUAUUAAUUAAUCGUUUUUUUUUUUUUUACGUAUUUUGUAUUUUCAAUUGUACGAUGUACGAGAAAUGAAAUUGUAAUCUUAAAAGCUUCACCUCCAACUUCGUUUUUCCUUUGUACCACGAAACUUGGGCGAGGUUGGAGCUAACUGUACAUUCCAUGUAAACUUCAUGCUUAGUGUAACCACUUGUUUUCUUAGCCAGUGGUUUCGUGAAUGUGUAAGUUGGGUCUGGUUCUGUGUAACAAUAAAUCAGUAGCUCGAUAUAUUCUAGCCAAGAUGACAUAUUGUGACUUAUAGUCCAAGUAUAAUCGAAUCUAUGGUAAAUAGAAUGUUAAUAAAAAAAAGGAGAAAAGAAAGAACGAAUAGAAAAUAUAGAAAGGACAAAGAGCAGGACAACGACUUAACAAAUUUAAAAACAAAUACAAAUUAAAAAAAAAACCAAACUCUGUCCUCUCAUUUGGUUUUGGAACAAGUAUUGCUACGUAUACUACUAGUCCUUGUACACAGUUCGCGAAUAUCCAUCGAAUCGUACUAACCUUCAACGUUGAGGAAAGCCGUGCUGGAGAUACCUGAAAUUUCAAUUUUAUACUUCCCGGUAUCCUCGACCUUGGGAUUCAUAAUAAUCAGUUGGUAACAAUCUUCCUCGUUCUUGAACUUGUAUUUCGACGAAGGGAACAGUUCCUAAAUAAGAGAAGCAAAUUUCUUUAUAAAUUUCCGAACAAACCUUUCAAUUAAUAUCUAUUUUAUUAUUUGCCAAUUAAUUAUUUAAUAAUAAUUAGGUGCAAGAGGAUCAUAGCGGUGCAAUAUCAUUUUUCAUAAAACGCUAUUAUAUUGUAAACAAUUAGAAGGAACUGAUUGUAUCCUUUCGAGUCGUGGAAACGUAUACCACGGCAGAGAAUAAAGUUGCAACUUAAUUCGCCAGCAAACUAAAACGACGACGUUCGUAAGAAUCAAAGUACGCGUUGAAGUUCAAAUUCUUCAAAUUUUGAUUCAAACCGCUAUGAUGUUGGAACACCCAAUCGAUGAACAAAUAUAACAGACUUAUCACUGUCUUAAUAAAUAGUUAAAAAAGAACGAGAAACUUACGUCCUUUCGGAAGAACCAUUUUGGUUUGCAGUUCGGUUUCGAGAAGUUCGCCUCGAAGACCACCUUCUUGUCUUUGCCUUCCUUGGCAUAUUGGUCCACCAGUGGUUUGAGGAAACUUUCCUGUUUCUGUGAAUACGAAAAUUCUGUUAGCGAAGGAUUCUUCGUUAAGAAAUUUCCAUCAGAUCUAAGAACACCGCCAAGAACGACAACGUUGCUGGGCAUACAAGGAAGAUGAAGAGUCAAAACGUUAAAAAAAAAGAAGGCGCCACAAACCAACGGAUGUCUCGCUAGGCGAGGUAAAAAUAUGUACAAAAUUGCCCCAAAAAUAGAGAAAAAUUCUCGUCGACGAGGACGAAGCGUUCGAAAGCCGCUGUAGCUGGAAAAUUCUAGAAAAAAAUAACGGAACAGCACAAAAAUAAAAUGUCGGCCGUAAAAAGGUUCGAUAGAAGAUUGUUGUCGAAGAUAGUGAGAAGUGACGAUGGAUGAACGUAUAUGUAAUACAUAUAUAUGAGAAAGAAGAAUAAAAGUUGUCGAAACAGACCGUGUAUAAAUUUGAUAGAUUUGAGGAAGAAGGUGAGAAUAGAAGAAACAGACGUAGGAGAAGAGAAUGAGAGAGAUAUCGUAAAAGACAAAGAGAGAAAGACGAGUGGUCUAGUCGUUGAAGAAACGAUAAAUAAAGAGGAAAAUAGUGAAUCGCAUUCUCAUAAGAAAGAGCGAGAAAGAGCGAAAAAUAUAGAGAUAGGGAGGAAUAAAAGUGAAAGACAUCGAUAUCACGCUGGUAGAUCGUGAAACUGUGUUUCGAGUUUCAAGUUGUCGAGGAAUACGAUCCAACCUCCGUCUUGGUGAAAUGGUGCAGGGUCGGCCAGUCGGGAAUUAAUUCGGCGAGAGAGGGUCUACGAGAUCCACUACUCUAUAAAACAACAAAAAUCGUCUACGAUCACAGUCUGAUUUACUACACGGGUAUCUUCUUCGUUGAGGCUGAUGGCAGGCAAAGUAAAGCAUAGAACAACAGUAUAGACGUAGUAGCAUACCGAGCUGUUAUUGAAUGAUCGCAAGUAAUCGAGAAAUGCAACAGACUUACAACGAAUGGACAUGCAUACCAAUAAGGACAAGCUCCCUCAAGACAUACAAGAAAAAAAAAAAAGAAAAAAAAGAAGAAGAUUCAAAGUUUCUGAUUCGAAGUAUUGAAUCACGUGAUAAGAACGAUCUUCGAUCGUAGACGAAAGUAAUUGGCUACGCACCUUCUCC